GACGAACGCUGGCGGCGUGCUUAACACAUGCAAGUCGAACGGGCCCGCUCUCUUUUUUGGGGGUGGGUUGAGUGGCGAACGGGUGAGUAUCACGUGAGUAACCUGCCCCCUGCUCCUGGAUAACUGCUUGAAAGGGCGGCUAAUACGGGGUGUGCCGGCUGGUCCGCAUGGGCCUGGUCUGGAUAGUUUCAUCUUCGGGUGUUUCGGUGGGGGAUGGGCUCGCGGCCUAUCAGCUUGUUGGUGGGGUGAUGGCCCACCAAGGCGGUGACGGGUAGCCGGCCUGAGAGGGUGGGCGGCCACACUGGGACUGAGACACGGCCCAGACUCCUGCGGGAGGCAGCAGUGGGGGGUAUUGCACAAUGGGCGGAAGCCUGAUGCAGCGACGUCGCGUGAGGGAUGGAGGCCUUCGGGUUGUGAACCUCUUUCUCCGGUGGUGAAGGCCCUGUCCGUUGCGGCGGGGUUGACGGUAGCCGGGUAUGAAGCGCCGGCUAACUACGUG
RNAcentral lists this ribosomal RNA (499 nucleotides) under uncultured bacterium. RNAcentral describes it as "partial 16S ribosomal RNA". It matches the Rfam family "Bacterial small subunit ribosomal RNA", at positions 28 to 507 of the family's 1533-position model. The record is from RNAcentral.